CCUACGGGAGGCAGCAGUGGGGAAUUUUGGACAAUGGGGGCAACCCUGAUCCAGCCAUUCCGCGUGAGUGAAGAAGGCCUUCGGGUUGUAAAGCUCUUUCGCAAGGGAAGAAAACUUAUGAUCGAAUAAAUCAUGAGGUUGACGGUACCUUGAUAAGAAGCACCGGCUAACUACGUGCCAGCAGCCGCGGUAAUACGUAGGGUGCGAGCGUUAAUCGGAAUUACUGGGCGUAAAGCGUGCGCAGGCGGUUUUGUAAGUCGGAUGUGAAAUCCCCGGGCUCAACCUGGGAACUGCGUUCGAAACUGCAAGGCUAGAGUGUGUCAGAGGGGGGUAGAAUUCCACGUGUAGCAGUGAAAUGCGUAGAGAUGUGGAGGAAUACCAAUGGCGAAGGCAGCCCCCUGGGAUAACACUGACGCUCAUGCACGAAAGCGUGGGGAGCAAACAGGAUUAGAUACCCUGGUAGUCCACGCCCUAAACGAUGUCAACUAGUUGUUGGUAGAGUAAAAUCUAUGAGUAACGUAGCUAACGCGUGAAGUUGACCGCCUGGGGGAGGUACGGUCGCGAAGAGUUAAACUUAACGAAAGUAAGUUAGUUAGGCGNGAGACGNGCGACGGACGACGACGAGGGAGGAGG
RNAcentral lists this ribosomal RNA (633 nucleotides) under uncultured bacterium. RNAcentral describes it as "bacterial SSU rRNA". The stretch from base 1 to 544 matches the Rfam family "Bacterial small subunit ribosomal RNA", at positions 338 to 873 of the family's 1533-position model. The record is from RNAcentral.